RNAcentral lists this ribosomal RNA (254 nucleotides) under uncultured bacterium. RNAcentral's name for it is "partial 16S ribosomal RNA". It matches the Rfam family "Archaeal small subunit ribosomal RNA", at positions 474 to 727 of the family's 1478-position model. The record is from RNAcentral.
UACCAGCACCCCGAGUGGUCGGGACGAUUAUUGGGCCUAAAGUAUCCGUAGCCGGUCCUGCAAGUCUUCCGUUAAAUCCAGCUGCUCAACAGAUGGGCUGCGGGGGAUACUACAGGGCUAGGAGGCGGGAGAGGCAAGCGGUACUUUAUGGGUAGGGGUAAAAUCCGUUGAUCCAUAGAAGACCACCAGUGGCGAAGGCGGCUUGCCAGAACGCGCUCGACGGUGAGGGAUGAAAGCUGGGGGGAGCAAACCGG